UUUAAUGGCUAACAGGGAAUGAUGCAACAGUGAUUGACCAAAAUAAUAAGAAUAUCACAGAUGUUGUAAUAUCUUGAUCAGAAAGUUACAACACUGUCGACAAGAAGACGAAUCCUCUCUCGGAUUUGAAAGUGUCUUUGGCGGGCUGCGUAGAAUAAAUCCCUUCAUCUGGAUUUGACCUUCCUCCCCCCAGCCUCUCACUGAAAUCUGGGGUAACGAGAGCUGGAUCCACUUGAUCUCAGCCCCAGCGAGAAAGCGGCUUGAUAAAAUCAUCGGGUAACCGAGCAGCAUCAUGCCGCAGUCAUGGAGUUGAAUUGCAGUUGGACCAGGAAACCUUGUUAAAGAGCUAUCCAACGGCACGUUUUGAUCUCUCUGCUUGGGCCUGGAGUUGAACCUGCAUUUUUCAAGUCCCUUGUUUUGGAGAGCGCUCCCCAAGGGCUGGUAUCGGAUGAGGAGGGGGAGAUUCUGCCAUCAUUCCUUCUACUUCGGGACCUCUGGCACUAUUUGACUCGGAGAGAUUGCUUAGAGAAAGGAUCCUGUGUCCGACUAAGAAGAGUGGGAAAACCUUCAGCUCCAGGGAGAGCAACUGUGACCAGGCCGGGGGUGGCCUCCCUUCCUGCUGAAGAGGAGAGCAGGCGUGUUUGAGCACCAGGGGACCUCCAGGGAGGUGCAGUAGUUUUCAGGCUUGUUAGGUGUCGAUGAACAGCAGCUGCUGCCCGGCCACUGCUUUUAAGGGCUUCAGCUUUCUGAAACUCGCCCAUACCAGUGUGGAGCCACGCUCAAGUGCAAACCGACCGAAGUCGUCUGGUGUAAUGUCUCCAGAGCAGGCACAAUGGGGAGUCUCUUCGGCAUGGACAGCGAGGGUGGUCUUACCCUGGAAGCCACUUCUCGGAGGCCUAGGAGAUUGGUUCGGAGAGACCUCGCUCCUCCAGCCCAACAAAUCCGAACUUCUACAUCUGAUGGGAGACCGAGUGCCUCACUGAGGUAAGAAAGGCUAAGAAAAAAGAAAGGUAAGAAAGGUAGGGCAUUCUUGGAGAUCUUUUGCGACUAAGUACACCCAAAUAUUUACAAUAUCGGAGAGAUCUGUACAUCAAGCUUUGGCUUUGUACAUCGAGUUCAGCCUGGAAGAGUAUGCAGUUCCAUUUACUUCAACAGGCUCUGGUGAAUUCAUAAGUGUUGGGAAAUCAGAUUUUUUUUUUUCCUUUUCAUAAUGGAGUCAUUCCAAUUCACUCCACUAACCCCCCAGCAUUUAUGUAAAUCUCAAUGGAAAAUGUUUAUAACAUUCUUCCAUUUGUGCACAUAGGCACCGUGCAUUUGUGUGGCUGAGUCUGCUGCCUGCAUGUUUAUAAACAGAUGUGAGUGUUUGUGUCUGUUCUGUCCUCCCCACUAGACUGGAAGUCCAGUGGAUCGAUUGAUUGAUCUCACAGCGUUGGUAGAAGUUCGGAGGAGCCCCACAGCGAGGAGUCAGGGGAGGCUGUAACGCUCUCCCAGGGAAAAGCAGUCAGCAGACGCCAAUGAACAAUUUUACUCGGUAUUUUUAUUCACUUAACAGAAACAUUCACUUAUCACUGAAGUGCAAUUUACAGAACUUAGCAGCAAAUUCACAUAUGUAAAUUUGGAUUUCUUUUUUUUUUUUUUUUUUUACAAAUAUUACAAAUGUACAUCCAUUAGUACAGUAUUGCCAUUCAAUCAUGCUUUUUAUAUACAGAUCUUCCUUUAAGAAUUACUCUUGAGUAAGUUCCUUUUGCUGCAGAAAAUGCUGUCUAUUGAACUUAAUUGCUGGGAUGUGUUCCCGAUUGUACUGUGUUAAUGCAUAUACUAAGGAACAGUAGAAAUCUAGUGCCGGAUUGAAAUCAGGUCACCGAAUCCAGGUUGUUUUCUGGCGUGGGCGCUCAUCCUCUUCCCAACGGCAAGGUCCUGCCAUGUUCCGAACUCCAGUAUUCCUGACACCAGAACCUAUGAUGUUCUGAUUUCCCUUCAAUUUGGUAUCGUUUCACGGUUUAGGCUUGGGAGUCAGACCGAAUGAAAAAGCUCCAGGUGAGACCCCCCCCCCCCAGCGGACCCUACAAACUCAGGCCCCUGUGGCCGACGUCCAACUCAAAGCCUAACAUCAGAUGGACGAAGGAAGUGCAGCAGAAGUAGCAGCAUUAUUUGGUUGCGAUUCGGGAUCCAGAGUGGGUAAGCCAGACUACUUCGAGAGGGGGGUUUGGUUACAGCUCUACCUUCCGUCCCUGCCUGACCCCUUGGGCGAACAGGACGUGGGUGCGCGCCCUGCCACGGUAUCGGUGUUGGCGCCACGGGCCCAGGCCGGGGGAGCCCACGUCUUCCCAACCGUCCGUCGGCUUCCACCGGCUCGGUGCCGUGACUGGCUGCAGGGAGGCAGAGUAAGGUGGCUGGAUUCCUUUUCACUACAGUGACGGGUGGGGAGGAGGGGAAGA
This is a long non-coding RNA of Ornithorhynchus anatinus (platypus), 2438 nucleotides long. RefSeq lists it as uncharacterized. Lineage: Eukaryota; Metazoa; Chordata; Mammalia; Monotremata; Ornithorhynchidae. The transcript is spliced from 7 exons. The record is from RefSeq and is a predicted model, not a curated record.